AUGAAGUUCUGCAAUGAAAGCGCCUUGAUUUUAACUAGAAUCUCUAAUAUUGUUUAAGAGGCAUGUUUACGUCUGCGUACGUUUCUUUUAUUGUGUGCGUAUUCAGGUUUGCCAAAGCUGUCUAAAAUUACCUCUGUGACGUUUCGUUGACUGGUGAUCGUUAGGAUGACGAUGACAUUCCCGUUUUGCGUGGAAUGAUGAGACGUGCUACAAUCUUCGCGUAGCCUCGGUAUUCUUCCGUCGACGCUCUUGUGCAAGAUCACUCGUGUGUUUUUCCGAGCGUGAAAGAUGCCCGCGAAUACAUCCAAAAUGCCGAAUGACUGGCCGCUCGAGGCAGUUUGCGUGUAUUGGCGGGCAUCUGUCACAGUUGAAAAAACACUUUAUGUAGCACGUAUUGAGCAACAGAAAGCGGUAUCGGGGGUUUCUCAUUUUGCUUUACAAUCUUCUCAUUGACACUUUUCAUGUAACUAUAAUAAUUGAGAAGUUAAUUAAUUAGAACAAAUUAUCUAACUAGGCUCAAUGAAAAAAAAUAAUCUGAGUGUCGCCAACAUUACCUUGGUUCUGUCCAGGUACGUGGCACUUGCAUAUUUUUAAAGUUUGGGCAAAGUUAUAUGAAACACCUUGUAUGUAGUGCACUGUUGCUUUGUUUUUUGUAACAUAAUCAGACAGUGCAGCUAUUUACAGCAUCUUCUUUUUACAAUACUUAACAUUUUUUGGCUUCAGUCACGCUGUAAAUAAAUUUUGAGGUCGCUUUGGCGGUUUUUUUUUUGUUUAUUUGUGUGUGUGCAAGUCUGUGCAGUAACAAAAUUCUGUUAAAAAAGGAAAAUUCCGAUAUACAGUUGUAAUAGGCACUAGAGUUUUUUUGUAAUUUACUAUGCAGGCGCAUAUCUACGUGCAAGAGAGAAGGCGCGUGAGGGUAAAGACACCAAUCAUGUACCCCUACAGGUGCCGAAAGGGGCAGAGGAAAACGCAGCCGCCCAAAGGGCCACCACGAAACUCCUGAACUCCAAGAACCCAGUCAGAAGACCUACUGAAUUAAGGAGCUACAGCCCAGCAGCCCGUUCGUAACGAGGUUUAUCAAGGUCGAUACCUGUAAUGGACGUUACUCGGAGGCACUCACAUGUUGAUGCCUAGCUUGUCUAGUCGUCGUGUUUACUUUUUGCAAUAAAAAAUGUUAUUGCUG
Long non-coding RNA from Dermacentor silvarum, 1183 nucleotides. RefSeq lists it as uncharacterized. The transcript has 2 exons. NCBI's taxonomy places the organism in Eukaryota, Metazoa, Arthropoda, Arachnida, Ixodida, Ixodidae. The record is from RefSeq and is a predicted model, not a curated record.